Molecule: microRNA, 19 nt
Filed under: Mus musculus (house mouse)
Lineage: Eukaryota; Metazoa; Chordata; Mammalia; Rodentia; Muridae
Description: mmu-miR-6241
Source: miRBase by way of RNAcentral
CACGGCGGCUGGAAUUCCC